UCAUUACUGAGUUUUUACUCUCCAACCAUGUGAACUUACCACUGUUGCCUCGGUGGAUGGUGCUGCUCCCUCGGGGGUGGUGCUGCCGCCGGUGGACAAACUAAACUCUUGUUAAUUUUUGGCAUUCUGAAUCAAAUCAAGAAAUAAGUUAAAACUUUCAACAACGGAUCUCUUGGUUCUGGCAUCGAUGAAGAACGCAGCGAAAUGCGAUAAGUAAUGUGAAUUGCAGAAUUCAGUGAAUCAUCGAAUCUUUGAACGCACAUUGCGCCCAUUAGUAUUCUAGUGGGCAUGCCUGUUCGAGCGUCAUUUCAACCCUUAAGCCUAGCUUAGCGUUGGGAGACUGCACUAAACCGCAGCUCCUCAAAACCAGUGGCGGAGUCUGUUCGUACUCUGAGCGCAGUAAUUUAUUAUCUCGCUUCUGUAAGUACGGCUGACGACAGCCAUAAACCGCACCCUUCGGGGGCACUUUUUAAUGGUUGACCUCGGAUCAGGUAGGAAUACCCGCUGAACUUAAGCAUAUCAAUAAGCGGAGGA
This 534-nucleotide ribosomal RNA is filed under the name ascomycete sp. HKB33. RNAcentral describes it as "eukaryotic LSU rRNA". The stretch from base 153 to 306 matches the Rfam family "5.8S ribosomal RNA". Lineage: Eukaryota; Fungi; Ascomycota. The record is from RNAcentral.